UACGAAGGGUGCAAGCGUUACUCGGAAUUACUGGGCGUAAAGCGUGCGUAGGUGGUUUGUUAAGUCUGUUGUGAAAGCCCCGGGCUCAACCUGGGAAUGGCAAUGGAUACUGGCAAGCUAGAGUGCGGUAGAGGGUAGUGGAAUUCCCGGUGUAGCGGUGAAAUGCGUAGAGAUCGGGAGGAACACCAGUGGCGAAGGCGGCUACCUGGACCAGCACUGACACUGAGGCACGAAAGCGUGGGGGAGCA
This 248-nucleotide ribosomal RNA is filed under the name uncultured bacterium. RNAcentral describes it as "partial 16S ribosomal RNA". It matches the Rfam family "Bacterial small subunit ribosomal RNA", at positions 524 to 770 of the family's 1533-position model. The record is from RNAcentral.